This 125-nucleotide small RNA is filed under the name Marmota monax (woodchuck). Lineage: Eukaryota; Metazoa; Chordata; Mammalia; Rodentia; Sciuridae. The record is from RNAcentral.
GCCAGGUACAGUGGCACACAUCUGUAAUCCCAGCAGCUCAGGAGGCUGAGACAGGAGAAUCACGAGUUUGAGGCUAGCCUCAACAAUAGCGAGGCACUAAGCAACUCAGUGAGACCCUGUCUCUC